ACACGACUACAUUAGAUACCCGUGUAGUCCCAGCCCUAAACGAUGCGCGUUAGGUGUAUCGGUGACCACGAGUCACCGAGGUGCCGAAGGGAAACCGUGAAACGUGCCGCCUGGGAAGUACGGUCGCAAGGCUGAACCUAAAGGAAUUGCGGGGGAGCACCACAACGGGUGGAGCCUGCGGUUUAAUCGGACUCAACGCCGGGAAUCUCACCGGAUAAGACAGCUGAAUGAUAGUCGGGAUGAAGACUCUACUUGACUAGCUG
Molecule: ribosomal RNA, 263 nt
Filed under: uncultured archaeon
Lineage: Archaea
Description: partial 16S ribosomal RNA
Rfam family: Archaeal small subunit ribosomal RNA
Source: RNAcentral